Molecule: transfer RNA, 66 nt
Filed under: Macrohaltica subplicata
Lineage: Eukaryota; Metazoa; Arthropoda; Insecta; Coleoptera; Chrysomelidae
Description: tRNA-Val
Source: RNAcentral
CAAAUUAAAGUUUAAAAAAUAUUUUAUUUACAUUAAAAAGUUAAUUGUUAAAUCAAUUUAAUUUGA